UUUGGAUUCGACGGGGAUUGUUCGAGCAUGAGUAGCGGGUCGUGGGGCUGCGGACACGUUAAUAACGCGGGCGUAAAUAUAAACGCAAACAAAAACAACAACCUCGCUCUCGCUGCUUAAUUGCAGCUAGGCCGUUCUGUUCGCUAUCUCCGGUGUAGCGGGCGGGACGUCAUCCAAGCCGGAUAGUCUGGACAUAUCGGUCUGUGUAUGCCAGGCGAAACUCAGCAGACUAGCUGAUCACCAGCCUGUCCCUCGGCGGGUGUGAGGCGAAACUUUAAGUAGAGCGGACUGCACCCGGAGAAGCUUAUGUGGCGAGGUCUUCGGACAGGGGUUCGAUU
Molecule: transfer-messenger RNA, 338 nt
Filed under: Effusibacillus lacus
Lineage: Bacteria; Bacillati; Bacillota; Bacilli; Caryophanales; Alicyclobacillaceae
Rfam family: transfer-messenger RNA
About the family: Bacterial tmRNA, also known as 10Sa RNA or SsrA, is named for its dual tRNA and mRNA-like properties. Its role is to liberate the mRNA from a stalled ribosome.
Source: RNAcentral